GAUGUCUCCAUUUCCCCUUCUUGAGCAGCUGUCACUGGUCAUGAGAACCGUGAGUCCCAGACAGUGGGGGCUGCUUCAGCCUGGAUUCAGAAUGAGAAGAUUCAUGGGGCACGCACCCCACGGCCUGGAGCCCAGCCUAGGAGAGCUGUGAUGAACCCCAAACUGACUUGCAGACCCCUGGCCAGGACUGCCCCUCUCAUUCAAGGCGUGCGGAUUUGAGAUCGGAGCCUGCAACUGCCUCAGAGGAUGGGGCGCACAGGCCCCCAACCUGGCUGCCUUGAAGCUGAGUGAGUCCCCGAGCUUUGUGCAUUUGCCUUGUCCUGCUGGGACCCCUCCGGGCAUCUCCUCCAAGAACGAGUUUUGGAGAAGAGAAGGGAGGACCUCUUUCACACCUCUGCAACCCAGAAAAGGGAUGACCCGGGGCCGAGAAGCCGGCUGUGAGCCUCGUCCGCCAUCUGCUGGCCAUUUGUUUAAUUGCAGCGAGAAGCUCCAUUAACCAGAAAGGGAAGCGUCAGGCCCACUCCCUUACUUCCCGCCACUAACAUUGGUUAAUCCUUUCUGCCUCUGGUUGAAAAUGAUGCCCGGUUGACCCUUGAAAAACAUGGGUUUGAACUGCGCAAGUCCACUCACACGCGGAUUUUUUUCACUAAAUACACACCACACGCGUCUCGGUUGGUUGAAUCCCCGGAUGUGGGACUACGACUGGAGGGUCAAAGUUAGGCGAAGAUUUUCAGUUCGCUUUGUCCCACUUUGUUCAAGGAAUAACUGUAUUUAUGCUAAAACAAUGACAAUAAAGGGAAAUAAAGAGACAGUUUUCCCACGUGCUGCUGCUGUCUAGACAAGCACCAUUUUUUUUUUUUUUUUUUAAAAUAAACUGUGUGUUAAAGUGUCA
Molecule: long non-coding RNA, 892 nt
Organism: Dama dama (fallow deer)
Lineage: Eukaryota; Metazoa; Chordata; Mammalia; Artiodactyla; Cervidae
Exons: 2
Source: RefSeq, a predicted model, not a curated record